Mercenaria mercenaria is the source of this 3785-nucleotide long non-coding RNA. RefSeq lists it as uncharacterized. NCBI's taxonomy places the organism in Eukaryota, Metazoa, Mollusca, Bivalvia, Venerida, Veneridae. The transcript is spliced from 3 exons. The record is from RefSeq and is a predicted model, not a curated record.
UGUAUGUAGACCUUGUAUAUGUAGAAGGUAAUUCUAAUCAUAUUUAAUGUAGCUCAUGGUUCAUCAUUGAAUGUAUGUGUAAACAUCAGUGACAUAUUUAACAUCAUAUUUUCAGUUGGCAGCACGAUGCAUUCAAAAUACCUUAAGAAUGUUAUGUGAACAUGCUCAUCUUCUUUUUUGUAUUUAUCUGCUGUAUGAUUUGAAUAUAUACUUGUGUAAGACUAAUGGUGCACUAAUAGUAAAGUGUUGUUGUUUUAUAUUUUACCGGUAUUUUAAACGAUAUUGCACAGUACAUAUCUCGACUAAACUAUAUGCCAUUUGUUUAACAAGGAUUUACAGCGCUGUGUUAUAAAUAUCUUCUAUCAUCCAAAGGAUACUAGCUACCAUAUACAAUAUAAUCAGAUUUUCCAGCAUUGCGCUUUGUCUGCAUAUGACAUGCAUGUUAUCACUACUCCAUAUCCAUGUCCAUAUGACAAAUAUUUAUUAUACGGCGAGGUUACAAAGUUAUGAAGUCGUUAGAAAGGGCAAAUCUUGGCUAUUUUGGAACUUUUUAGAACGGUUUCAUACACGGUAUUCAUUGUGAAAGUCGAAUCCAAUCCACAAAAUGGACGAUAGUACCGCGAUGAGAAUGUUUCUCUGUCUUCUGCAAUGCGUUAAUAGGGAAUCGAUCUUACCGAUUUUCGUCGCGAAGCGACGAAAAUCGGGAUCGAAUCCCACUACGGUAACAUACGAGGGUAUCCAAACCACACAUACUAUCCAAAUAAAAAAAUAUGGAGUUCCGGUUUAGACCAUGGGCGUGCGACGACCCCGAUGAAAUUCGGGAUAUCACGGUCUUCGUUAAUGUUAAUAAGCGUCCGUCAGAUCAGUAGGCGAAACGCAAUAUCCGCACAAUAAGAUGUCUACGACUCGAUUCUUCGCCGAAAGAAUAUUCAAAGUAAGCUGUUAAUUUUGUUGCGUCAGAAGCUAAUCAGCCGGUAACGUGACUACACUGAUAUAAAUUGUGAUACAAACAUGCUUUAUUCAAUACUGAGUAGCAUUUUUAAACGGCGACAUUUUGAACAUUUUCAUAUUUAGAGUGAGAGUGGAUACACGUUACACUGGCGCCGACUUUUUGAAAAUUUGAGGAAACAAAAACAUUCUCCAACGAGUUCUUCAGCUCGGGGAAUGAGAGAAUAGAUUCACCUUUGUGUCGCUUUUCAGAUCGUAUUUAAUUCCUUUCCGGUACUUUAGUUUCUUUGAACUUCUUUGUUACUAAGCCUAUAUUGAAUUUUUAAAAUUAAGAAAUCCGUGAUUUUACUUGCAGGCAUGACUGAUUAAUGGAAUUAUUUUACUUUUAUAUAGAAUAUGGACGGCACUCCAUUACAGCAUGUGCAUGGUUGGACCUGUUAACAUUUUUAGAAACGCGUCUUGGUCUAUUAUACAGAGUAUUGUUGUACUGCUCCAAAGUGCUUGUUGACAGACUGAAACCACUUGCUUGCGGCUCAUAAGGUUCACUUCUUGAUAGAAGGCAGCUACAAAAUGGAAGGUCAACAAAUCCAGUAUACUUGAAAAGCAAGAAAGAAACACCAGAAAAUAUAAAAAGACAGAAGAACAAGGGAACUUUAAUAAAAAAAAAACUUUUAAGGAUAGGAAUUUAGGAUUUAUUUAGAAACUAAAUAUAUUUUGAGAACAGCAGUGUUUGACUAAGCUCUGUUACUUUAAGAGAUAAUGUGAUUAUCACAUUGGUUUUGUUAUUGUCGAGCCCGCUUGCGGAAGCGAAGACAUAGUUGUCCAAAUGUCUAUUCGGUGUUGCGUGCGUGCGUCCGUCCGGAUUUGUUUGUCCGGACCAUAAUUUGGACAUGCAUGGAGCAAUCUUGUUUAUAUAUGGUAUGAAUGUUAACCUCAGUGAGACAGAGUGUCAUGCGCAAGCCCCAGGUUCCUAUCUCAAAGGUCAAGAUCACACUUACAGGUCAAAGGUCAAAUUCAAAAAUGACUUUGUCCGGAGCAUUUCUUCUUCAUGCAUGGAGGGAUUUUGAUGUAACUUGGCACAAUUGUUCACCAUCAUGAGAUGGAGUGUCAUGCGCAAGAACAAGAUCCCUAGGUCUAAGGUCAAGGUCACACUUAGAGGUCAAAGGAUACAUGAAUGACAACUUUGUCUGGAGCAUUUUUUCUUCACGCAUGGAGGGACUUUGAUGUAACUUGGCACAAAUGUUCACCACCAUGAGACGGAGUGUCAUGCGGAAAAACCAGGUCUAAGGUCAAGGUCACACUUAGAGGUCAAAAGUCAGAUACAAGAAUGACUUUGUCUGGAGCAUUUCUUUUUGAUGCAUAGAGGGAUUUUGAUGUAACUUGGCACAAUUGUUCAUCAUCAUGCGAGGUUGGUCUUGACCAGCAGAUUACCUGUAUUGAUUUAGAGUUCCAAAGGUCAGGAUGACCCGGAACAUUUAAACCUUUUCAAUACAACAACUUGAGAACACUUGGGCGGACGAUCAUGAAACUAUGGAGAUUGAAUUUGAGGUCAUUAGGUAAUAGCUCAAGAAAAUGCUGCUUUGUUAUUGGCUUAGUUCUUUGAUAAGGCCAUAUUGUGGGGGUAUAAUUCGUCACUUCUGUGACAACUCUAGCAUUUAGCUCACCUGAGCACAAAGUGCUCAAGGUGAGCUUUUGUGAUCGCCCUGUGUCCGUCCGUCAUCAACAAUUUGACUGUUAACACUCUAUAGGUCACAAUUUUGACUUAAUCUUUAUGACGCUUGGUCAGAAUGUUACCCUUAAUAAAAUCUUGGACACAUUUGAUGUUGGGUCAUCUUGAAUCAAAAACUAGGUCACCAAGUCAAAUCAAAGGAAAAGCUUGUUAACACUGUAGAGGUCACAUUUAAGACUAUAUCUUCAUGAAACUUGGUCAGAAUGUUAAUAUUAAUGAUCCAUAGAUCAGAUUCAAAUCUGGGUCAAGUGGGGUCAAAAACUAGGUCACCAGGUCAAAUCAAGGGAAAAGCUUGUUAACACUCUAGAGGUCACAAUUUUGGUCCAAUCUUAAUGAAACUUGGUCAAAAUGUUACCCUCAAUAAAAUAUUGGACAAGUUUGAUAUUGGGUCGUCUAGGGUCAAAAACUAGGUACAUGUAACCAGGUCAAAUCAAAGGAAAAGCUUGUUAACACUGUAGUGGCCACAUUUAUGACCAUAUCUUAAUGAAACUUUGUCAGAAUUUUAAUCUUGAUGAUCUAUAGGCCAAGUUAAAUCUAGGUCAGGUGGGAUUAAAGACUAGGUCGCUAGGUCAAAUCAAAGGAACAGCUUGUUAACACUCCAGAGGCCACAUUUAUGACUGCAUCUUCAUGAAACUUAAUCAGAAUGUUAAUCUUGAUGAUCUUUCAGUCAAGUUUGAAUCUGGGUCGUGUGGGGUCAAAAACUAGGUCACCAAGUCAAAUCAAAGGAAAAGCUAGUUAACUCUUUAGAGGCUACAUUUAUGAUCAUAUCUUAAUGUAACUUGGUCAGAAUGUUGAUCUUGAUGAUCUUUAUGUCAAUAUGCCAGGUGAGCGAUACAGGGCCAUCAUGGCCCUCUUGUUUAUUUGUUCUUGUUGUAAGAGAAAUUGUACAUUUUAGAAUACAGAUUACAGCAAGUCACAUUUUCUUUAUUUUGACAAUACUUAUUUCAAAGCCUGACAAAAGCAUCCAGUACUGUUAUUAAAAGUUGUUAUUCACAGUUCAGCUAUAUUUCAUGUAUGGAUAAAACAAAUUAUGUGAUCAUUAUAAAUGUGUAUACAGAUAAAACUUAAACAUGUGAACAGUUUAUUCAAUAAAUAAAGUGUAAUGCAA